RNAcentral lists this transfer RNA (75 nucleotides) under Patescibacteria group bacterium. RNAcentral's name for it is "tRNA-Val". It matches the Rfam family "tRNA". From Rfam's summary of the family: Transfer RNA (tRNA) molecules are approximately 80 nucleotides in length. Their secondary structure includes four short double-helical elements and three loops (D, anti-codon, and T loops). Further hydrogen bonds mediate the characteristic L-shaped molecular structure. tRNAs have two regions of fundamental functional importance: the anti-codon, which is responsible for specific mRNA codon recognition, and the 3' end, to which the tRNAs corresponding amino acid is attached (by aminoacyl-tRNA synthetases). tRNAs cope with the degeneracy of the genetic code in two manners: having more than one tRNA (with a specific anti-codon) for a particular amino acid; and 'wobble' base-pairing, i.e. permitting non-standard base-pairing at the 3rd anti-codon position. The record is from RNAcentral.
GCGCGUGUAGCUCAGUGGUAGAGCACUGCUUUGACAUAGCAGGGGUAGAAAGUUCGAUCCUUUCCACGCGCACCA